AGAGUUUGAUCAUGGCUCAGGACGAACGCUGGCGGCGUGCUUAACACAUGCAAGUCGAACGGAAAGCGCUCUUCGGAGUGACUCGAGUGGCGAACGGGUGAGUAACACGUGGGUGAUCUGCCCUGCACUUUGGGAUAAGCCUGGGAAACUGGGUCUAAUACCGGAUAGGACUACGCGAUGCAUGUCGUGUGGUGGAAAGCUUUUGCGGUGUGGGAUGAGCCCGCGGCCUAUCAGCUUGUUGGUGGGGUAAUGGCCUACCAAGGCGACGACGGGUAGCCGGCCUGAGAGGGUGACCGGCCACACUGGGACUGAGAUACGGCCCAGACUCCUACGGGAGGCAGCAGUGGGGAAUAUUGCACAAUGGGCGCAAGCCUGAUGCAGCGACGCCGCGUGAGGGAUGGCGGCCUUCGGGUUGUAAACCUCUUUCAGCACAGACGAAGCGCAAGUGACGGUAUGUGCAGAAGAAGGACCGGCCAACUACGUGCCAGCAGCCGCGGUAAUACGUAGGGUCCGAGCGUUGUCCGGAAUUACUGGGCGUAAAGAGCUCGUAGGUGGUUUGUCGCGUUGUUCGUGAAAACUCACAGCUUAACUGUGGGCGUGCGGGCGAUACGGGCAGACUUGAGUACUGCAGGGGAGACUGGAAUUCCUGGUGUAGCGGUGGAAUGCGCAGAUAUCAGGAGGAACACCGGUGGCGAAGGCGGGUCUCUGGGCAGUAACUGACGCUGAGGAGCGAAAGCGUGGGGAGCGAACAGGAUUAGAUACCCUGGUAGUCC
RNAcentral lists this ribosomal RNA (773 nucleotides) under uncultured bacterium. RNAcentral describes it as "bacterial SSU rRNA". It matches the Rfam family "Bacterial small subunit ribosomal RNA", at positions 8 to 796 of the family's 1533-position model. The record is from RNAcentral.